Molecule: long non-coding RNA, 922 nt
Organism: Neopsephotus bourkii (Bourke's parrot)
Lineage: Eukaryota; Metazoa; Chordata; Aves; Psittaciformes; Psittacidae
Exons: 3
Source: RefSeq, a predicted model, not a curated record
GAAGCGAACGGGAGCGAAGCCCUCCGCGGGCGCUCCGUGCCGCGAGGGCUGAGGGUGGCGGGGAGCGCUGGAAGGGCUGAGUGCCGCGGAGCUCCGCUCUGCCGGGUUCUGCCCCGCUGCCGGCGCCGGCGCCGCUGCUCACGGCGGGUCGAGCCGCCGCAGCCAGUACGGGGCCGCCUACCAGCCGGCAGCUCUAUAGUAUUUGGCAACCUUCCCCACAAAAUGGUAAGACACUACAGCAAUGGACAUCAUUAAAAAGAGGUACUAGCUACUCCCCUACUGAGAUGAACAGUACAAACAGCAUGUGAAAAUGUCAAAUGAAAACAAGAUGAAAAGUGAGGUCUGUACCUGUCAUACACUGUUCGCUGCGCUCAAGGACUGCAGUGUCUAGAGAGCACAGUUUGCUGAGGACAUCACUGCUACCAUGCAGGUCUGGUUCGAUUUGUUUGCCAUAUAAGAGUAUUACAUUAUCAUCAACAAGUGAAAGCUUUGGUGAGUCCAAAUGUCAGCAUUGUAAAGAGACAUUUGUCUUGCAAGUCUGUAAUGUAAUUUUGAUAUAACCUGCAGAAGGUUAAUGUAUAGUAAGAGGGGAUGAUUUUGCAAAGUUUUGUGCCCAUUAUCUGUUUUUCUUGAGACCACAGACUGCAUUUACUGGAAAUAGUCCUAUGCAUUAUUUCAGUGCAGAACAAGAGGUUUUAUGAGGCUCCUUCUGCUGUGCAAAGCCCUGCAGAGACUUGCUAUAUCUAUUUUGUAAAUCAUGCUCUUUCAUAUUGCCUGCACUGGGUACUCCACAGGUAACCAGCUCCACUGGUCAGCCAUCCUAACUUCCACUUACAUCCUUACUGUUAGUGCUAUGUGGUAGAUGGGAAUCUCUAAAGUCUGAAAGUGCCAGAACAUCCAUGGAAGCCUCAACAUUUUAAUG